This is a long non-coding RNA of Metopolophium dirhodum (rose-grain aphid), 991 nucleotides long. RefSeq lists it as uncharacterized. The record is from RefSeq and is a predicted model, not a curated record. Lineage: Eukaryota; Metazoa; Arthropoda; Insecta; Hemiptera; Aphididae. The transcript has 5 exons.
GAUGGUUAUAAUUGUUAUCAUAUAAAUAACAACAUAAUAUUAUUAUUUUUUCGUAUGCCGACGUUGAGUUUGAAUCAUUUGCGAAUCACGAUUAUUUGAAACUUGAACAGAAAUACAGACUACAGAACAGUCGUACAGAGUUCUAUUCAUACAUUUUAGUACAAAAUCGCCACGGAUGAGUGUAUUCUAUUUAGCAAUACAUCCAAUGUAUCACCUCGCCACAUUACGUUAAUUUUCAUUUAUUUCCAAAAAAUCAAUGAAAUAAAAGGAAAUAAUGACUAAAAGUCUUCGAAUUAAAUGAUUAUCCCAAUUUCUACCUUGCAUAGAAUCUGCGGUAAUCAUUUCACAAUUAGUGAUUGUAAACAAUGCUCAGUAAAUUAGUAAACACGAUCAGAGGCUGUCUCAAAACAUAAUCCAAACCACUUGUCUGGGAUAGAGAGUUAAAAUAAAUUUUGUUAUUUACGGCAACAUCGGUACUACUCGUGAGUACUACUAGGAAAUCGCAUCUAAGAGAAAACUUUGUUUCUCCAACGAUGAGUUAGCAGAAAAUGAACAGACGAAUAAAGGAUUUUGAGGACUUACAGUUGAUGAUUUUGAUUAGCCCAGAAAAGCCUUAGAUACUCAAUAAUGUCUAAUUCACACACACUUAUGUCAUAGAAUGGAUUAUACUUAUUAUUGUUUUCGAAAUUGAAAUAAUAUAUUAUGUACCACAUACAAGGAACUAGGAAGUGGAGCCAAUGUAUUGACAAUUUUUCAGACGUUGACUUUCUUGAAGAUAAUUCUACCGACUCAGAUGAAGCCAUAUAAUAUUGGAGCGAAUUGUGCAACUCAAAGGUAAUACAAUUUUGCUGAGCUAGAAUCCAAUUUUAAUAACGCAGAGGGCCUCAAUGUAUUUAAAUUGCAAAAAAACAAAUAACUACUUUGGACCAUUGGUAUGUUUCCUAAAAGGAAAGUGCAUCUAGUUGGAUGCGUUAAACAGGUAAAGAUUGAA